Long non-coding RNA from Serinus canaria (Common canary), 749 nucleotides. RefSeq lists it as uncharacterized. NCBI's taxonomy places the organism in Eukaryota, Metazoa, Chordata, Aves, Passeriformes, Fringillidae. The record is from RefSeq and is a predicted model, not a curated record. The transcript is spliced from 5 exons.
GCCCAAGUAGGCACUGGUGCCAGCUUGGUCCUGGGAGGCAUCCUGCGAUAUGCGGAAUUUUAAGAGCCAGAAGGCUGCUCUGAGCCACCGGCCCUGCAACACCAACGCUGCCCCUUUUCCCAGGUAAGCAAAACUCACCAACCCUAGUUGAUGGUGUCAGUUUUCAGGAGGUACUUGGCACUCUCAAACCAGCCCAAGUUGGCACUGGUGCCAGCUUGGUCCUGGGAGGCAUCCUGCGAUAUGCGGAAUUUUAAAAGCCAGAAGGCUGCUCUGAGCCACCGGCCCUGCAACACCAACUCUGCCCCUUUUCCCAGUUUUCAGGAGGUACUUGGCACUCUCAAACCAGCCCAAGUUGGCACUGGUGCCAGCUUGGUCCUGGGAGGCAUCCUGCGAUAUGCGGAAUUUUAGGAGCCAGAAGGCUGCUCUGAGCCACCGGCCCUGCAACACCAACGCUGCCCCUUUUCCCAGGAGGUACUUGGCACUCUCAAACCAGCCCAAGUUGGCACUGGUGCCAGCUUGGUCCUGGGAGGCAUCCUGCGAUAUGCGGAAUUUUAAAAGCCAGAAGGCUGCUCUGAGCCACCGGCCCUGCAACACCAACGCUGCCCCUUUUCCCAGUUUGCAGGAGGUACUUGGCACUCUCAAACCAGCCCAAGUUGGCACUGGUGCCAGCUUGGUCCUGGGAGGCAUCCUGCGAUAUGCGGAAUUUUAGGAGCCAGAAGGCUGCUCUGAGCCACCGGCCCUAGAACACA